Molecule: transfer RNA, 78 nt
Filed under: Ancylomarina longa
Lineage: Bacteria; Pseudomonadati; Bacteroidota; Bacteroidia; Marinilabiliales; Marinifilaceae
Description: Marinifilaceae bacterium T3-2 S1-C tRNA-Val
Rfam family: tRNA
About the family: Transfer RNA (tRNA) molecules are approximately 80 nucleotides in length. Their secondary structure includes four short double-helical elements and three loops (D, anti-codon, and T loops).
Source: RNAcentral
GGGCGGUUAGCUCAGCUGGUUCAGAGCACUUGGUUUACACCCAAGGGGUCAUAGGUUCGAAUCCUAUACCGCCCACUA